AUUAAAUUAAUAGUCAUAAAUUUAGCUAUGUUUAUGUACAUACUUGAGAUAAUGAAGUAGAUCAAUCCUAAUAAAACGAACUGGUUAAUAUGCAGACUAUUAGCAAAGUUUGCCGGUUACAUUGUAUUAGGUGUUAGUUACUGCUGUCAUGCAUGUGAUUUGUUUUGAACUCUUCACAAUGCAUCCACUAUAAUACAAACUAGUUUUAGGUUAUACUGGGUUGGGCAAGUAAUCUUCCCUUUUGUAGGUACAGGUAGGGCUCUUAGGUGGGUCGUUGUUGGAUUUGAGAACGUUGAGUGUGUUCUUGUUUUGCUCAGUGUGUUUUUCUCGGAUUCAAGCUUUGCGAUGUAUUCUUGUGAGUUUUUUUUUUGUGGCCAACGGUGAUCGUCUUCCUUCUGGAGCUCGGUUAAUUGGUUCAAUUGCCUCGGAUUUAAACGAAGGUGAGGAAGAUUCUCUGGAUUUGGAAGGCCCUCGGACGGAGUAGACGAGGAGGCGGGAUGGAUGCAUGGUACUGUCCAUAGUCUGGGAGUGCGAAGCAUACUGGAUUCACCGUGAGGGAUUUUUGUUUCUUUAUCAUUCGGGUGGGGAUAUAUGAAGAGAUAUUGUUAUUAUUGAUAAACAUAUGUUGAUACAGUCAUGUCCAUUGGUUAUGAUUAGUUUCCUUAAUGGUACUGCAAUUUUGAUCA
Zingiber officinale is the source of this 686-nucleotide long non-coding RNA. RefSeq lists it as uncharacterized. The transcript is spliced from 2 exons. Lineage: Eukaryota; Viridiplantae; Streptophyta; Magnoliopsida; Zingiberales; Zingiberaceae. The record is from RefSeq and is a predicted model, not a curated record.